CUUUGAUCACGCACAGAAAGAAUGUGCUACUAUCCCCGCGCUGCCGCUGCCGCCGCCGCCGCCGCUGCCGCCGCGCCGGAGCCCGAGCCCGAGCCCGAACCCGCGGGCCCCUCCGGAACGCCGGCGCCGCCUCUCGGAAAGCUCGGGCCCGGGGCGGCUCCGCGGCAGCCGGACCGGGCUCUCGGCGCACCGGGAGCCGCCUCGUUUGCCUUGGUGGCCGCCACCUCCCCGCGGCUUCCCGGGUCUCUCCUUGGCUCUUGACGCAGUCUGGAGCUGCAGCCGGGUUUCCUCUCCUUUCCUCUCCUCUCUCUCCUCUCCCAGUCUCAGGCCAAACCCAGCCCGGCCCCGGGAGGGGAGGGGGGGGGAGGGAGAUUUGUCUUGGAGGAACCUGCCGACGGAGCUUGGGGAGGAGGAAGAGGAGGAGGAAGGAGGGGAAGCCGUAGCCGCCGCCACCACCGCCGCCGCCACCUGCCACCUCUGCCCGCUGCCUGUGCUGGGGAUCUCAGCGCGCGCUCUCCGGGAGCUGUACCCCACCCCCUCCUGUAGCCCGCCCCAGGACACCCCGGGUUCAGUCAUCGACUCGCGUGGGAGCCCUGGGGCUGAGCGGUGGCUCUCUCCUCGCCCGCGUCAAGGAAGAAGGAGCGAGUGAGCGAGCGCAGGACACGUCGUCCUGCUGGGGACAGAGCGACCGUCAGCCGCGGGGGACUGGGGAAGACGCCGGAGCCGCCCGGAGCGCCCCGCCUGUCUAGACUUGGAGCCUGCGUAUGCCCUCGGGAAGAGGAGGAGGAGGGAGGCGGUGGCCGCGCAGCGCGUAAGUUUGUUUGCAUCCACUUCCGAGGACAGGGCUGGGGGGCUGCACUGGAGGGGACCCGCACUCU
This 878-nucleotide long non-coding RNA is filed under the name Phascolarctos cinereus (koala). RNAcentral describes it as "lncRNA (ENSPCIG00000007486.2)". The record is from RNAcentral. Lineage: Eukaryota; Metazoa; Chordata; Mammalia; Diprotodontia; Phascolarctidae.